This 1359-nucleotide ribosomal RNA is filed under the name uncultured bacterium. RNAcentral describes it as "bacterial SSU rRNA". It matches the Rfam family "Bacterial small subunit ribosomal RNA", at positions 28 to 1381 of the family's 1533-position model. The record is from RNAcentral.
GGUGAACGCUAGCUACAGGCUUAACACAUGCAAGUCGAGGGGCAGCAUUUUAGUUUGCUUGCAAACUGAAGAAGGCGACCGGCGCACGGGUGAGUAACACGUAUCCAACCUGCCGAUAACUCGGGGAUAGCCUUUCGAAAGAAAGAUUAAUACCCGAUGGUAUAAUCAGACCGCAUGGUCUUGUUAUUAAAGAAUUUCGGUUAUCGAUGGGGAUGCGUUCCAUUAGGCAGUUGGUGAGGUAACGGCUCACCAAACCUUCGAUGGAUAGGGGUUCUGAGAGGAAGGUCCCCCACAUUGGAACUGAGACACGGUCCAAACUCCUACGGGAGGCAGCAGUGAGGAAUAUUGGUCAAUGGGCGCAGGCCUGAACCAGCCAAGUAGCGUGAAGGAUGACUGCCCUAUGGGUUGUAAACUUCUUUUAUAUGGGAAUAAAGUUUUCCACGUGUGGAAUUUUGUAUGUACCAUAUGAAUAAGGAUCGGCUAACUCCGUGCCAGCAGCCGCGGUAAUACGGAGGAUCCGAGCGUUAUCCGGAUUUAUUGGGUUUAAAGGGAGCGUAGGUGGACAGUUAAGUCAGUUGUGAAAGUUUGCGGCUCAACCGUAAAAUUGCAGUUGAUACUGGCUGUCUUGAGUACAGUAGAGGUGGGCGGAAUUCGUGGUGUAGCGGUGAAAUGCUUAGAUAUCACGAAGAACUCCGAUUGCGAAGGCAGCUCACUGGACUGCAACUGACACUGAUGCUCGAAAGUGUGGGUAUCAAACAGGAUUAGAUACCCUGGUAGUCCACACAGUAAACGAUGAAUACUCGCUGUUUGCGAUAUACAGUAAGCGGCCAAGCGAAAGCAUUAAGUAUUCCACCUGGGGAGUACGCCGGCAACGGUGAAACUCAAAGGAAUUGACGGGGGCCCGCACAAGCGGAGGAACAUGUGGUUUAAUUCGAUGAUACGCGAGGAACCUUACCCGGGCUUAAAUUGCAUUUGAAUAUAUUGGAAACAGUAUAGCCGUAAGGCAAAUGUGAAGGUGCUGCAUGGUUGUCGUCAGCUCGUGCCGUGAGGUGUCGGCUUAAGUGCCAUAACGAGCGCAACCCUUAUCUUUAGUUACUAACAGGUCAUGCUGAGGACUCUAGAGAGACUGCCGUCGUAAGAUGUGAGGAAGGUGGGGAUGACGUCAAAUCAGCACGGCCCUUACGUCCGGGGCUACACACGUGUUACAAUGGGGGGUACAGAAGGCAGCUACCUGGUGACAGGAUGCUAAUCCCAAAAGCCUCUCUCAGUUCGGAUCGAAGUCUGCAACCCGACUUCGUGAAGCUGGAUUCGCUAGUAAUCGCGCAUCAGCCAUGGCGCGGUGAAUACGUUCCCGGGCCU